AAGGGCGCACGGUGGAUGCCUUGGCACUAGGAGCCGAUGAAGGACGGGACUAACACCGAUAUGCUUCGGGGAGCUGUAAGUAAGCUUUGAUCCGGAGAUUUCCGAAUGGGGGAACCCAAUUGCUUUGAUAGGCAAUUACUCAGCUACG
Molecule: ribosomal RNA, 148 nt
Filed under: Aerococcus viridans ATCC 11563 = CCUG 4311
Lineage: Bacteria; Bacillati; Bacillota; Bacilli; Lactobacillales; Aerococcaceae
Rfam family: Bacterial large subunit ribosomal RNA
Source: RNAcentral